UGGGGAAUUUUGGACAAUGGGGGCAACCCUGAUCCAGCAAUGCCGCGUGAGUGAAGAAGGCCUUCGGGUUGUAAAGCUCUUUUGUCAGGGAAGAAACGGUAGUAGCGAAUAACUAUUACUAAUGACGGUACCUGAAGAAUAAGCACCGGCUAACUACGUGCCAGCAGCCGCGGUAAUACGUAGGGUGCAGGCGUUAAUCGGAAUUACUGGGCGUAAAGGGUGCGCAGGCGGUUUGUUAAGACAGGUGUGAAAUCCCCGGGCUUAACCUGGGAAUUGCGCUUGUAACUGGCAGGCUAGAGUGUGGCAGAGGGGGAUGGAAUUCCACGUGUAGCAGUGAAAUGCGUAGAUAUGUGGAGGAACACCGAUGGCGAAGGCAGCCCCCUGGGUUAACACUGACGCUCAUGCACGAAAGCGUGGGGAGCAAACAGGAUUAGAUACCCUGGUAGUCCCUGAGCGGGCUGGCAAGGCGCAU
This 472-nucleotide ribosomal RNA is filed under the name uncultured bacterium. RNAcentral's name for it is "bacterial SSU rRNA". It matches the Rfam family "Bacterial small subunit ribosomal RNA", at positions 355 to 825 of the family's 1533-position model. The record is from RNAcentral.